Long non-coding RNA from Eucalyptus grandis, 176 nucleotides. RefSeq lists it as uncharacterized. NCBI's taxonomy places the organism in Eukaryota, Viridiplantae, Streptophyta, Magnoliopsida, Myrtales, Myrtaceae. The transcript has 3 exons. The record is from RefSeq and is a predicted model, not a curated record.
GGAAGCUUGAAGAUGGACAUGGCAUAUUGCGAAUCCAGGAGAACAUUUCCUUCUUGGAUCGGCCCCAAUCCGAAGGAAUGCCCAGGAGUUACCACCGGCGGACAUUGCUGUAGAAAAGGUUGAAAAUCCCGAUUGCCCACAGAUCGAUAUAGCUGAGAGAAGAAACCCUGAGUAAG